Molecule: ribosomal RNA, 253 nt
Filed under: uncultured bacterium
Lineage: Bacteria
Description: partial 16S ribosomal RNA
Rfam family: Bacterial small subunit ribosomal RNA
Source: RNAcentral
UACGUAGGGGGCAAGCGUUGUCCGGAAUUAUUGGGCGUAAAGAGCGUGUAGGCGGUCCGAUAAGUCGGCUGUGAAAGUCCAGGGCUCAACCCUGGGAUGCCGGUCGAUACUGUCGGACUAGAGUUCGGAAGAGGCGAGUGGAAUUCCCGGUGUAGCGGUGAAAUGCGCAGAUAUCGGGAGGAACACCUAUGGCGAAGGCAGCUCGCUGGGACGUUACUGACGCUGAGACGCGAAAGCGUGGGGAGCGAACAGG